Molecule: ribosomal RNA, 253 nt
Filed under: uncultured bacterium
Lineage: Bacteria
Description: partial 16S ribosomal RNA
Rfam family: Bacterial small subunit ribosomal RNA
Source: RNAcentral
UACGUAGGCAGCAAGCGUUGUUCGGAGUUACUGGGCGUAAAGGGUGUGUAGGCGGUUCUUUAAGUUUGGUGUGAAAUCUCCCGGCUCAACUGGGAGGGUGCGCCGAAUACUGAGGGACUAGAGUACGGGAGAGGAAAGUGGAAUUCCUGGUGUAGCGGUGAAAUGCGCAGAUAUCAGGAAGAACACCCGUGGCGAAAGCGGCUCUCUGGAACGGUACUGACGCUGAGACGCGAAAGCGUGGGGAGCGAACAGG